RNAcentral lists this transfer RNA (75 nucleotides) under Lentisphaerota bacterium. RNAcentral's name for it is "Lentisphaerae bacterium (anaerobic digester metagenome) tRNA-Glu". It matches the Rfam family "tRNA". From Rfam's summary of the family: Transfer RNA (tRNA) molecules are approximately 80 nucleotides in length. The record is from RNAcentral. RNAcentral also lists the same sequence under 1 other name. Lineage: Bacteria; Pseudomonadati; Lentisphaerota.
GUUCCCAUCGUCUAGCGGUUAGGACAACGGGUUCUCAUCCCGUAAACAGGGGUUCGAUUCCCCUUGGGAAUGCCA